GGGGUACGAGAGGGCCGCUACCACGCGAGUGGAUGCCAAUCCCCAAAACCUCUCUCAGUUCGGACUGGAGUCUGCAACCCGACUCCACGAAGCUGGAUUCGCUAGUAAUCGCGCAUCAGCCACGGCGCGGUGAAUACGUUCCCGGGCCUUGUACACACCGCCCGUCAAGCCAUGGGAGCCGGGGGUACCUGAAGUGCGUAACCGCGAGGAGCGCCCUAGGGUAAAACUGGUGACUGGGGCUAAGUCGUAACAAGGUAAC
Molecule: ribosomal RNA, 259 nt
Filed under: uncultured bacterium
Lineage: Bacteria
Description: partial 16S ribosomal RNA
Rfam family: Bacterial small subunit ribosomal RNA
Source: RNAcentral